Long non-coding RNA from Cyprinus carpio carpio, 1085 nucleotides. The record is from Ensembl. Lineage: Eukaryota; Metazoa; Chordata; Actinopteri; Cypriniformes; Cyprinidae.
GAUCAAAGGGGAGAAUAAAAAUGUUCACAUUGUUACACAAAAUUUCAAACGAUAUUACAAAUAAAUGUUGCAAACAAGCGUUUGAACAGUAGUGUAUGCUAUAGAGUUCAUGUGUGUUUGUUGCGGCAGAGGUGACGUGAAGGUGCAUCUGUCAGCCUGAGGGGGCAGUCUAUCUACAUCUGACAUCAGCAGGUCAUAAACUCUGACCUCUUGACCUCUCUCUGGUCAUAUCACACAGCACUCAUCAGCUUCAGACAUGCACACAAACACACACCACCAUGUCUGAACCGACUAGCUCAUGAAGAACUCCUAGAAAAACCUGGGAGCUGGUCUUCUACACAGAGUUUUCUAGCUUCACUUUUACCUUUCAUUGUUGAGUGUAUGCACUUUAGAUAUGCUGAUGUGUUAUUUCGCAGAUGUGUUAAUGAGCUGCUUGGCUCUAAUGGUGGUGCUCUGAUGUUAUGGUUGGUGUUUGCAUCCAUAUGAGGAAAGAGAGAGCGCUGGUUUCCAUGCUGAAUGACUGCCGUUCAAGGGCGAUUUGGAGACGGUGCUGCUCUCCCUGAAAAUGAACCAUCACCACCUGACACAUUCAAACAGAGACGUUUAGAGCAGCGCUGAGAGGAGCCGCUGUUCUCACACACUGUAUGUCAUGGCCAGAACGGCUUUGUACGAUCAGCUGCCUUGUAGAGUGCUGUUGUGUGUUCACAUGCUCACAAACACACACUCUCACACAUUUGAAGCAAAGCUUUCUGCUGAAUAACACAGCUAUAGUAUAGAUUGGUCUCUUUUUGAUCGUGAAUCCUGUAAACAAGUUUCCACCAAAAUGCUAAAUAAUGUUAGUUAUUACUGAACAAUCAUAAUGUAUUGGAUACCCUUCAAGUAUAAAAUAAAACAAUAUGAAAUUAUAUUUUCUAUAAAGAAAACAAAGCCAAUUUAAGGACCAUUGACAUUUUCAAGGACAACAGAUAUUGAAUUAUCCAAAAAGAGAAAAGAAAAGGAAAAGAAAAGAAAGAAAGAAACAAUGCUGUUUUAGUUUAAACAAUAUUUUGUUUUUCUGAAAAAUCAGUAUAAUAAAAUAGAACCAC